Molecule: ribosomal RNA, 510 nt
Filed under: uncultured bacterium
Lineage: Bacteria
Description: partial 16S ribosomal RNA
Rfam family: Bacterial small subunit ribosomal RNA
Source: RNAcentral
GACGAACGCUGGCGGCGUGCUUAACACAUGCAAGUCGAACGAAGAGCGAUGGCAGCUUGCUUCUAUCCAUCUUAGUGGCGAACGGGUGAGUAACGCGUAAUCAACCUGCCCUUCUGAGGGGGCCAACAGUUGGAAACGACUGCUACUACCGCAUACGACCCGACCUCGGCAUCGAGGAUGGAUGAAAGGUGGUCUCUAUUUAUAAGCUAUCACUGAAGGAGGGGAUUGCGUCUGAUUCGCUAGUUGGAGGGGUAACGGCCCACCAAGGCGAUGAUCAGUAGUCGGUCUGAGAUGAGGAGCGGCCACAUUGGGAGUGAGACACGGCCCAGACUCCUACGGGAGGCAGCAGUGGUGAAUCUUCCGCAAUGGACGAAAGACUGACGGAGCAACGCCGCAUGAGUGAUGACGGCCUUCGGGUUGUAAAGCUCGGUUAAUCGGGACGAAAGGUCUUCUUGCGAAUAGUUAGAAGAAUUGACGGUACCGGAAUAGAAAGCCACGGCUAACUACGUG